Molecule: ribosomal RNA, 253 nt
Filed under: uncultured bacterium
Lineage: Bacteria
Description: partial 16S ribosomal RNA
Rfam family: Bacterial small subunit ribosomal RNA
Source: RNAcentral
UACGGAGGGGGCGAGCGUUAUUCGGAAUUAUUGGGCGUAAAGGGCGCGUAGGCGGCCUUCUAAGUCGAACGUGAAAUCCCCGGGCUCAACCCGGGAACUGCGUCCGAUACUGGGAGGCUUGAAUCCGGGAGAGGGAUGCGGAAUUCCAGGUGUAGCGGUGAAAUGCGUAGAUAUCUGGAGGAACACCGGUGGCGAAGGCGGCAUCCUGGACCGGCAUUGACGCUGAGGCGCGAAAGCCAGGGGAGCAAACGGG